This 38-nucleotide non-coding RNA is filed under the name Amycolatopsis taiwanensis DSM 45107. Its description in RNAcentral is "L31-Actinobacteria ribosomal protein leader". It matches the Rfam family "L31-Actinobacteria ribosomal protein leader". Lineage: Bacteria; Bacillati; Actinomycetota; Actinomycetes; Pseudonocardiales; Pseudonocardiaceae. The record is from RNAcentral.
CCGGCACCGGUUCACCUCGCGACGAGGACCCGGCGGCC